UUUCCGUAGGUGAACCUGCGGAAGGAUCAUUAUCAAACAGCGGACUUCGGUCCUUGCUGCACCCUUGUCUUUUGCGCACCGUUUGUUUCCUCGGCGGGCUUGCUCGCCGAUUGGACAACUAUUAUACUCUUUUGUAAUUGUAAUCAGCGUCUGAAUAAACUAUAAUAGUUACAACUUUCAACAACGCAUCUCUUGGUUCUGGCAUCGAUGAAGAGCGCGGC
RNAcentral lists this unclassified non-coding RNA (221 nucleotides) under uncultured fungus. Its description in RNAcentral is "sequence contains ITS1, 5.8S rRNA gene". The stretch from base 173 to 221 matches the Rfam family "5.8S ribosomal RNA", at positions 1 to 49 of the family's 154-position model. Lineage: Eukaryota; Fungi. The record is from RNAcentral.